CAAUAUUUACAUGUUUAUAUUAAUAUUUUGGAAUAGUAUUUAAUAGUAUUGAUAUUUAGGAAUAGUAUUGAUAUUUCAACGAUAUUUUUGUUUGAUUGUUUGCUGUUGAUUGAUUUCUGAAGCUUGUUUUGCCGUAAUUUAGGAAUAGUAUUGAUAUUUACAUGUUUAUGUAGAUAUUUAGGAAUAGUAUUUAAUAGUAUUGAUAUUUAGGAAUAGUAUUAAUAUUUCAAUGAUAUUUUUGUUUGAUUGUUUGCUGUUGAUUGAUUUUUUAAGAUGGUUUUGUUGUAAUUUAGGAAUAGUAUUGAUAUUUACAUAUUUAUAUUGAUAUUGUUAUUUCCAGAUCUAAAGAUAAAAUUAAUCACUCUCUUUGAUCUAGAUCUGAAUCUUGAUUAAUACUUACACGAUUGAUAGUGAUUUUGAAGAGAAAAAGAACAUAAGAUUUUUAUAGUGGUUCCACCCAAAAUUUGUGUACGUCCACUUUAUGUGGUGUAUAUUAAUAGUGUAUAAACUAUUACAUGCAAGAUAGGUUUUGAGUCUUGUUGGUACCAUGGACCGCGGACCGCGGCCCAUGGACCGAACCGGACCGGCCGGCCCAGACGGACGGACGGGCGGACUGGCCCGACAGCGCGAGCCCACGAGGCCCAAUGACAACAAGUGAAGGCUAUAAAUACCUCCCCUGGUCCAACUGGGGACGGGGUUGAUAAUUCUGAGAGAGAGACUUGUACUAGGUUGGACGGUGACCUAGCUCCGGCGAACCCUCACACCAACAGUGGUGAACCUGACGUGAAACAAACACAUGACAGCCGGAGAGAGAAGGAUGACGAGGAGCGAAUACCAAGUAGGGGAGAGCUCUAAGCGACCCGAGCGGGCGGCGGAGGAGUACCUGCCGGCGCGACAUCACUCCCGCGACAGGUAUUCGGAGGAAGUAAGGGCCAACGAGGAUAGACUGCGCAUGGAGCUCGAGGAGAUCAGGUACGGGUGGGAGUCACCCAGGAGGCGCCGGCACAAAGAGCCGGCGUCCCCACCCAAGGUCAGGAG
This 1038-nucleotide long non-coding RNA is filed under the name Zostera marina. RNAcentral's name for it is "long non-coding RNA (ZMAR_LNC005508)". The record is from RNAcentral. Lineage: Eukaryota; Viridiplantae; Streptophyta; Magnoliopsida; Alismatales; Zosteraceae.